AAUGCAUCAGGGGCUCCCAGACAAGGUCCACUGUUCUACCUUAGUGUGCCAGUUGCUUUCUUUUUCCUUCUCACUAGUGAUCUGGGAUCUGCCUCCGGUCAAGAAUCCCAGACCCUUUGCUACACUGAAGCUGGAGGACAAGUGUGCCUCUCCGGCCUGGGAAGGAGAAAAAGAAGAGCAAGAAGCAAUUGACCCAUUGCUGAAGUACAAACUGAAACGGACAGACGUAAUGAACAGGCAGUGAGGACAUUCCGAAAGUGGAACAAAAGGUAACAAACUCCACCAACCAUGUUCUUCAGAAGAGGUCAGAAUUGAUCGCCAGGAUCCGAAAUUUUGGGGUAACAACCUUCAAAGUCCACUGGAAUCAGAUGACUCCAUGGCUAAACUUUUGGCGUGCAGGCAUGAGACCUGGUGCUGGGGUUCUUUUUCCCACCCUUCUCCAUCCCUCUUCUUUGUGCCCCCAUCUACUCCCAAGCACUAGAUAGGAGAGGAGAGGAAAGAGAUCCCUUAAUAAAGUCUGGUCAGAAAGUGGCAACAGU
Molecule: long non-coding RNA, 539 nt
Filed under: Rattus norvegicus (Norway rat)
Lineage: Eukaryota; Metazoa; Chordata; Mammalia; Rodentia; Muridae
Description: long non-coding RNA NONRATT017506
Source: RNAcentral